RNAcentral lists this ribosomal RNA (253 nucleotides) under uncultured bacterium. RNAcentral describes it as "partial 16S ribosomal RNA". It matches the Rfam family "Bacterial small subunit ribosomal RNA", at positions 524 to 776 of the family's 1533-position model. The record is from RNAcentral.
UACGUAGGGUCCAAGCGUUGUCCGGAGUUACUGGGCGUAAAGCGCGCGCAGGCGGUGGCGUGUGCCCGGCGUGAAAGCCCCCGGCUCAACCGGGGAGGGUCGUCGGAGACUGCGUCACUUGAGGUCGGCAGGGGCCGGUGGAAUGCCCGGUGUAGUGGUGAAAUGCGUAGAGAUCGGGCGGAACACCCGUGGCGAAGGCGGCCGGCUGGGCCGUACCUGACGCUGAGGCGCGAAGGCGUGGGGAGCGAACGGG